This 1250-nucleotide ribosomal RNA is filed under the name uncultured bacterium. Its description in RNAcentral is "bacterial SSU rRNA". It matches the Rfam family "Bacterial small subunit ribosomal RNA", at positions 56 to 1320 of the family's 1533-position model. The record is from RNAcentral.
UGCAGUCGAACGGUGAAGCCCAGCUUGCUGGGUGGAUCAGUGGCGAACGGGUGAGUAACACGUGAGCAACCUGCCCUCCACUUCGGGAUAAGCCUUGGAAACGGGGUCUAAUACCGGAUAUGAGCUCGCAUCGCAUGGUGUGGGUUGGAAAGUUUUUCGGUGGGGGAUGGGCUCGCGGCCUAUCAGCUUGUUGGUGGGGUGAUGGCCUACCAAGGCGUCGACGGGUAGCCGGCCUGAGAGGGCGACCGGCCACACUGGGACUGAGACACGGCCCAGACUCCUACGGGAGGCAGCAGUGGGGAAUAUUGCACAAUGGGCGCAAGCCUGAUGCAGCGACGCCGCGUGAGGGAUGACGGCCUUCGGGUUGUAAACCUCUUUCAGCAGGGAAGAAGCGCAAGUGACGGUACCUGCAGAAGAAGCGCCGGCUAACUACGUGCCAGCAGCCGCGGUAAUACGUAGGGCGCAAGCGUUGUCCGGAAUUAUUGGGCGUAAAGAGCUCGUAGGCGGUCUGUCGCGUCUGGUGUGAAAUCCCGAGGCUCAACCUCGGGCUUGCAUCGGGUACGGGCAGACUAGAGUGCGGUAGGGGAGACUGGAAUUCCUGGUGUAGCGGUGGAAUGCGCAGAUAUCAGGAGGAACACCGAUGGCGAAGGCAGGUCUCUGGGCCGCAACUGACGCUGAGGAGCGAAAGCAUGGGGAGCGAACAGGAUUAGAUACCCUGGUAGUCCAUGCCGUAAACGUUGGGCACUAGGUGUGGGGCUCAUUCCACGAGUUCCGUGCCGCAGCUAACGCAUUAAGUGCCCCGCCUGGGGAGUACGGCCGCAAGGCUAAAACUCAAAGGAAUUGACGGGGGCCCGCACAAGCGGCGGAGCAUGCGGAUUAAUUCGAUGCAACGCGAAGAACCUUACCAAGGCUUGACAUGUACGAGAAAGCCCCCGAGACGGGGUUCUCUUUGGACACUCGUACACAGGUGGUGCAUGGUUGUCGUCAGCUCGUGUCGUGAGAUGUUGGGUUAAGUCCCGCAACGAGCGCAACCCUCGUCCUAUGUUGCCAGCGGGUUAUGCCGGGGACUCAUGGGAGACUGCCGGGGUCAACUCGGAGGAAGGUGGGGAUGACGUCAAAUCAUCAUGCCCCUUAUGUCUUGGGCUUCACGCAUGCUACAAUGGCCGGUACAGAGGGCUGCGAUACCGUAAGGUGGAGCGAAUCCCAAAAAGCCGGUCUCAGUUCGGAUUGGGGUCUGCAACUCGACCCCA